RNAcentral lists this ribosomal RNA (439 nucleotides) under uncultured bacterium. RNAcentral describes it as "partial 16S ribosomal RNA". It matches the Rfam family "Bacterial small subunit ribosomal RNA", at positions 338 to 794 of the family's 1533-position model. The record is from RNAcentral.
CCUACGGGAGGCAGCAGUGAGGAAUAUUGGUCAAUGGCCGGAAGGCUGAACCAGCCAUGCCGCGUGAAGGAAGAAGUAUUUCGGUAUGUAAACUUCUAUCAGCAGGGAAGAAAAUGACGGUACCUGACUAAGAAGCCCCGGCUAACUACGUGCCAGCAGCCGCGGUAAUACGUAGGGGGCAAGCGUUAUCCGGAUUUACUGGGUGUAAAGGGAGCGUAGGCGGUUUAGCAAGUCAGAAGUGAAAGCCCGGGGCUCAACUCCGGGACUGCUUUUGAAACUGGUGAACUAGAGUGCAGGAGAGGUAAGUGGAAUUCCGAGUGUAGCGGUGAAAUGCGUAGAUAUUAGGAGGAACACCAGUGGCGAAGGCGGCUUACUGGACUGUAAAUGACGCUGAGGCUCGAAAGCGUGGGGAGCAAACAGGAUUAGAUACCCGAGUAGU